RNAcentral lists this ribosomal RNA (253 nucleotides) under uncultured bacterium. RNAcentral's name for it is "partial 16S ribosomal RNA". It matches the Rfam family "Bacterial small subunit ribosomal RNA", at positions 524 to 776 of the family's 1533-position model. The record is from RNAcentral.
CACGUAGGGUGCGAGCGUUGUCCGGAAUUAUUGGGCGUAAAGGGUGCGUAGGCGGUGAUGCAAGUCGGUUGUGAAAUUCCGGAGCCUAACUCCGGAACGGCAUUCGAAACUGCAUCGCUCGAGGUCUGGAGAGGUAAUUGGAAUUCUAGGUGUAGCAGUGAAAUGCGUAGAUAUCUAGAGGAACACCAGAGGCGAAAGCGAAUUACUGGACAGAACCUGACGCUGAGGCACGAAAGCUAGGGGAGCAAACGGG